CUUUAACCUUUCCUGGUAAGUUUUUUUUAUCCCGCAAUCCAUGAACCAGUUUAGUAGCCCUUCUCUGAACCCUAUCUAAGGUAUCAAUAUCCUUCUGAAGAUACGGUCUCCAGUACUGUGUACAAUACUCCAAAUGAGGUCUCACCAGUGUUCUGUACAAUGGCAUGAGCACUCCCCUCUUUCUACUGCUAAUACCUCUCCCUAUACAACCAAG
Non-coding RNA from Pelobates cultripes (western spadefoot toad), 214 nucleotides. Lineage: Eukaryota; Metazoa; Chordata; Amphibia; Anura; Pelobatidae. The record is from the annotation of a GenBank genome assembly.